Phoenix dactylifera (date palm) is the source of this 648-nucleotide non-coding RNA. NCBI's taxonomy places the organism in Eukaryota, Viridiplantae, Streptophyta, Magnoliopsida, Arecales, Arecaceae. The record is from RefSeq and is a predicted model, not a curated record.
GAAACCGGUGAUGGAGUCCAAAGGAGGAGGAGAAGGCCUUAAAUAGAUGGAAAUCCCGGGAUUUUUUAUAAGUGUUAUAAAAGAUGAUGUAAUCUCAGGCAUGGGCAGGGUAAAUGAAGAUGAACUUGUGUGCAGAAUGCAGGAGAUAUGUUGUAUCGGCACUACUGUAGAACUCGAACCUAUGCCGUUGUGCUUGUCAGCCCAAGCCCUUUAUCAUGAUAUAUACAUAUCAUAUUUAUUAUAUAUAAACAUAAAUAUGGAAAUGUGUGUGUAGACAUUUAGCGUGUUAAUACAUAACUAUGUAUCCACAUGUAUAUAUGGAUACAUAUGUAUAUUUAUACAUGUUGUUUUAUAAAAGUGUUUUCUUGUAGUUUCCUUUUGUAAAGAUACAAACAAACAAGAAAAAGGAAUUCAGGUUGUAUUAAAAUUAUCGCUGUAUCUGAAAUUUGUGGUUAGAUCGUAAGUAGAAGCAGGGCCGGACGAGGCUAACUUCCCUCCCAAUCUCAAGGGAAGGGGCAGCCUCAAUAUCCAUUGAACUACACUCCUUCUCUCCAUCUGUUGUUCUCUGGCGUUAUCUGUUCAUGGGAAUCAGUCGGAGGGGAUUUCUCGAUCAAUGAUGAGGCUUUGGCACAGUUGUCACAUAGAACA